Gorilla gorilla gorilla (western lowland gorilla) is the source of this 135-nucleotide small nucleolar RNA. The record is from Ensembl. Lineage: Eukaryota; Metazoa; Chordata; Mammalia; Primates; Hominidae.
AUUGUUUGAAAAUUAAAAGGUGAAAGCAGUUACUGUCUGCUGCUAUUGUUUCCACUACAGAUACAAGAAAAAGUCUCUUCACACUUUCUGUCUGUCUGAUUGUAGCAGCCUGAGAUUGAAUAGAGGAAUACAGGG